This 1122-nucleotide ribosomal RNA is filed under the name Triticum aestivum (bread wheat). Its description in RNAcentral is "partial small subunit ribosomal RNA". The record is from RNAcentral. Lineage: Eukaryota; Viridiplantae; Streptophyta; Magnoliopsida; Poales; Poaceae.
AUGAAGGAGCGGUACUUGUACUGGGAGAAGGUGCAACCGGUCCAAGGCGAAUGCGCCUAUAAUCCCAACUUGUCCAUACAACCUCUUAUGAGGAACUGGACAGAAGGUGCAGCCACUAGGAGAGAUAGGUUCGACUUUGAUAAUGGGCGCGGCCGUGGUAACGUAAGGAGGUUGUUGGAGAAGUUGAACAAAGCAGGUGUCAUGUACAAGCCGGAUGCUGCCGUGCCAUCCGCGGAGAAUGAUCCGGACGAAGUGGAUUCGUUCGAGAAUGCUCUAUUUUCGAACAAUAAUGUGCCGGAGGUUGUGGCAGAUGAGUUGACGCCGGAAAUAAUUGAUGCUGCUAUUUCAUUUGUCGAGUUAGCUGCUAGCACUGAGAAGAAGAAGAACAAAAAAAUUUACUACAGUGAAGGCCGUGGCAUAACUCUGACUUCCGAAAGGAUUCUACCGGUUAUUGAUGCUUAUAUGGGACAUUUGGAGCUGCGUGUUGGUCAUGAUCAUUACCUCUGUCCAGUGUGGAGGUCCAAAUUCCUUGUAGGUCGUGCUAUCACAAAUGACGAUCCAUUGCCAUCGAGCUGCAACAUGGAUAGUGCUCUGACCAAAGCUGGGGCAGUUAAUAGAGUCACGAAAGAGUAUACUGUGCGUGAUAAGGUACGUAAUACGUAUAUCGCGUUGAAUAUCGACAAUAGCCACUUGAUGACCGUGGUCAUGCACAUGAUCAAGAAAGAAUUCCAAGCUCUCGAUUCGCUCUAUCCUCUGGACCUGACUGAGAGGACUGUUAAAGCACUGCGAAUGGCUAUAGCACACGAUAUGCGUCAGGCAAAUCUUAUUACACCAGGGAAAUAUCCGGACGAUGAUAUCACUUCUGAGUAUGUUGAAUGGGUUGACGGGGAGUGGGAUAGCAAAGCAAAGUCAAUCAUUAAGUAUCUUGCCAUGAAGAACAAGAAACUGGAGACUAAGGUUACAGAAUAUGAAGCUGAAAUUAAAAGGAAUGAGAAAGAAAAGAGGGUAAUGGUUAAGAUGCACAAGGAGAUAUUGCUCUAUAGGGAUAGGAUUUUAGGAUUUGGAGGUCUUCUGUAUCUUGGCCUGCUUGCCAUUAUGAUUGCUGUCAUAGUUAGCAAGUAG